RNAcentral lists this ribosomal RNA (433 nucleotides) under uncultured bacterium. RNAcentral's name for it is "partial 16S ribosomal RNA". It matches the Rfam family "Bacterial small subunit ribosomal RNA", at positions 29 to 507 of the family's 1533-position model. The record is from RNAcentral.
AACGAACGCUGGCGGCAUGCCUAACACAUGCAAGUCGAAUGAGACCUUCGGGUCUAGUGGCGCACGGGUGCGUAACGCGUAGGAACCUGCCCUUAGGUUCGGAAUAACUCCCCGAAAGGGGUGCUAAUACCGGAUAAUGUCUUCGGACCAAAGAUUUAUCGCCUUUGGAUGGGCCCGCGUUGGAUUAGCUAGUUGGUAGGGUAAAAGCCUACCAAGGCGACGAUCCAUAGCUGGUCUGAGAGGAUGAUCAGCCACACUGGGACUGAGACACGGCCCAGACUCCUACGGGAGGCAGCAGUGGGGAAUAUUGGACAAUGGGCGAAAGCCUGAUCCAGCAAUGCCGCGUGAGUGAUGAAGGCCUUAGGGUUGUAAAGCUCUUUUACCCGGGAUGAUAAUGACAGUACCGGGAGAAUAAGCUCCGGCUAACUCCGUG